GAUUAAGUUAUUAAGGGCGCACGGUGGAUGCCUUGGCACUAGAAGCCGAUGAAGGACGUUACUAACGACGAUAUGCUUUGGGGAGCUGUAAGUAAGCUUUGAUCCAGAGAUUUCCGAAUGGGGAAACCCAGCAUGAGUUAUGUCAUGUUAUCGAUAUGUGAAUACAUAGCAUAUCAGAAGGCACACCCGGAGAACUGAAACAUCUUAGUACCCGGAGGAAGAGAAAGAAAAUUCGAUUCCCUUAGUAGCGGCGAGCGAAACGGGAAGAGCCCAAACCAACAAGCUUGCUUGUUGGGGUUGUAGGACACUCUAUACGGAGUUACAAAGGACGACAUUAGACGAAUCAUCUGGAAAGAUGAAUCAAAGAAGGUAAUAAUCCUGUAGUCGAAAAUGUUGUCUCUCUUGAGUGGAUCCUGAGUACGACGGAGCACGUGAAAUUCCGUCGGAAUCUGGGAGGACCAUCUCCUAAGGCUAAAUACUCUCUAGUGACCGAUAGUGAACCAGUACCGUGAGGGAAAGGUGAAAAGCACCCCGGAAGGGGAGUGAAAUAGAACCUGAAACCGUGUGCUUACAAGUAGUCAGAGCCCGUUAAUGGGUGAUGGCGUGCCUUUUGUAGAAUGAACCGGCGAGUUACGAUUUGAUGCAAGGUUAAGCAGUAAAUGUGGAGCCGUAGCGAAAGCGAGUCUGAAUAGGGCGUUUAGUAUUUGGUCGUAGACCCGAAACCAGGUGAUCUACCCUUGGUCAGGUUGAAGUUCAGGUAACACUGAAUGGAGGACCGAACCGACUUACGUUGAAAAGUGAGCGGAUGAACUGAGGGUAGCGGAGAAAUUCCAAUCGAACCUGGAGAUAGCUGGUUCUCUCCGAAAUAGCUUUAGGGCUAGCCUCAAGUGAUGAUUAUUGGAGGUAGAGCACUGUUUGGACGAGGGGCCCCUCUCGGGUUACCGAAUUCAGACAAACUCCGAAUGCCAAUUAAUUUAACUUGGGAGUCAGAACAUGGGUGAUAAGGUCCGUGUUCGAAAGGGAAACAGCCCAGACCACCAGCUAAGGUCCCAAAAUAUAUGUUAAGUGGAAAAGGAUGUGGCGUUGCCCAGACAACUAGGAUGUUGGCUUAGAAGCAGCCAUCAUUUAAAGAGUGCGUAAUAGCUCACUAGUCGAGUGACACUGCGCCGAAAAUGUACCGGGGCUAAACAUAUUACCGAAGCUGUGGAUUGUCCUUUGGACAAUGGUAGGAGAGCGUUCUAAGGGCGUUGAAGCAUGAUCGUAAGGACAUGUGGAGCGCUUAGAAGUGAGAAUGCCGGUGUGAGUAGCGAAAGACGGAUGAGAAUCCCGUCCACCGAUUGACUAAGGUUUCCAGAGGAAGGCUCGUCCGCUCUGGGUUAGUCGGGUCCUAAGCUGAGGCCGACAGGCGUAGGCGAUGGAUAACAGGUUGAUAUUCCUGUACCACCUAUAAUCGUUUUAAUCGAUGGGGGGACGCAGUAGGAUAGGCGAAGCGUGCGAUUGGAUUGCACGUCUAAGCAGUAAGGCUGAGUAUUAGGCAAAUCCGGUACUCGUUAAGGCUGAGCUGUGAUGGGGAGAAGACAUUGUGUCUUCGAGUCGUUGAUUUCACACUGCCGAGAAAAGCCUCUAGAUAGAAAAUAGGUGCCCGUACCGCAAACCGACACAGGUAGUCAAGAUGAGAAUUCUAAGGUGAGCGAGCGAACUCUCGUUAAGGAACUCGGCAAAAUGACCCCGUAACUUCGGGAGAAGGGGUGCUCUUUAGGGUUAACGCCCAGAAGAGCCGCAGUGAAUAGGCCCAAGCGACUGUUUAUCAAAAACACAGGUCUCUGCUAAACCGUAAGGUGAUGUAUAGGGGCUGACGCCUGCCCGGUGCUGGAAGGUUAAGAGGAGUGGUUAGCUUCUGCGAAGCUACGAAUCGAAGCCCCAGUAAACGGCGGCCGUAACUAUAACGGUCCUAAGGUAGCGAAAUUCCUUGUCGGGUAAGUUCCGACCCGCACGAAAGGCGUAACGAUUUGGGCACUGUCUCAACGAGAGACUCGGUGAAAUCAUAGUACCUGUGAAGAUGCAGGUUACCCGCGACAGGACGGAAAGACCCCGUGGAGCUUUACUGUAGCCUGAUAUUGAAAUUCGGCACAGCUUGUACAGGAUAGGUAGGAGCCUUUGAAACGUGAGCGCUAGCUUACGUGGAGGCGCUGGUGGGAUACUACCCUAGCUGUGUUGGCUUUCUAACCCGCACCACUUAUCGUGGUGGGAGACAGUGUCAGGCGGGCAGUUUGACUGGGGCGGUCGCCUCCUAAAAGGUAACGGAGGCGCUCAAAGGUUCCCUCAGAAUGGUUGGAAAUCAUUCAUAGAGUGUAAAGGCAUAAGGGAGCUUGACUGCGAGACCUACAAGUCGAGCAGGGUCGAAAGACGGACUUAGUGAUCCGGUGGUUCCGCAUGGAAGGGCCAUCGCUCAACGGAUAAAAGCUACCCCGGGGAUAACAGGCUUAUCUCCCCCAAGAGUUCACAUCGACGGGGAGGUUUGGCACCUCGAUGUCGGCUCAUCGCAUCCUGGGGCUGUAGUCGGUCCCAAGGGUUGGGCUGUUCGCCCAUUAAAGCGGUACGCGAGCUGGGUUCAGAACGUCGUGAGACAGUUCGGUCCCUAUCCGUCGUGGGCGUAGGAAAUUUGAGAGGAGCUGUCCUUAGUACGAGAGGACCGGGAUGGACAUACCUCUGGUGUACCAGUUGUCGUGCCAACGGCAUAGCUGGGUAGCUAUGUGUGGACGGGAUAAGUGCUGAAAGCAUCUAAGCAUGAAGCCCCCCUCAAGAUGAGAUUUCCCAACUUCGGUUAUAAGAUCCCUCAAAGAUGAUGAGGUUAAUAGGUUCGAGGUGGAAGCAUGGUGACAUGUGGAGCUGACGAAUACUAAUCGAUCGAAGACUUAAUCAA
Molecule: ribosomal RNA, 2923 nt
Filed under: Staphylococcus aureus
Lineage: Bacteria; Bacillati; Bacillota; Bacilli; Caryophanales; Staphylococcaceae
Description: 23S ribosomal RNA
Rfam family: Bacterial large subunit ribosomal RNA
Source: RNAcentral